GCGAGUGGCGGAAUUGGCAGACGCGCAGGCUUCAGGUGCCUGUGGGGGUAACCUCGUGAGGGUUCAAGUCCCUCCUCGCCCA
RNAcentral lists this transfer RNA (82 nucleotides) under Actinomycetota bacterium. RNAcentral describes it as "Actinobacteria bacterium tRNA-Leu". It matches the Rfam family "tRNA". Rfam says of the family: Transfer RNA (tRNA) molecules are approximately 80 nucleotides in length. The record is from RNAcentral. Lineage: Bacteria; Bacillati; Actinomycetota.